UUAAGUUCAGCGGGUAAUCUUGCUUGAUCCGAGGUCGACCUUAUAUUUGGUGCAUAGGCUGUCCUUUGCUUCGUACAGACACAUUUUGCUGUGCUUGGGCUAAACUUCAGACGCCAAUCAGUUUGAAGCCGCCAACCAAAGUCGCAGCUCAUCGCAAGGCAAAGCCUUAUGGUCUUUAACGACGCUCGAACAAGCAUGCC
This 200-nucleotide unclassified non-coding RNA is filed under the name soil metagenome. RNAcentral's name for it is "partial internal transcribed spacer 2". The record is from RNAcentral.